RNAcentral lists this long non-coding RNA (16507 nucleotides) under Heterocephalus glaber (naked mole-rat). RNAcentral's name for it is "lncRNA (ENSHGLG00000036338.1)". The record is from RNAcentral. Lineage: Eukaryota; Metazoa; Chordata; Mammalia; Rodentia; Bathyergidae.
GUGAGUCUGAAGAAUGUAUGUUUGGUUAAGUAGUAUGCUGAAUUCUGGUGUUUAGUGUGAUUGUGUUCAAAGAGACCUGUUUAGAAUUAACUGUGAAAUAUGGUGCAACAAUAGUAAGGAAUGCAGUGGGUGCCUUUCUGCUGUUAUGGUACUCCAUUAACAACUUCUGCUGUGCUUGGCUGCCUUUCAUUGUUACGCUUUAUGGUUUACACUAACAUUGUAGAUGUAAGUGGCGUCCCUUCUACAACAGUUGCCCAAGGCCUUAGCAACGAUGAUGGUGUAUUUUGAGCAGAUACCGGUUUAGUUCACAUUAAUAUCUGCUAGACAGGUUGUAGUGUGCUGUGGUCUCUUCUCUGACUUUGGACAGAGUUUUUAUCUAGGUGGAAAAAGGAACCGGGUCGUGUGCUUGAGCUUGUGGGCCUACACUGGCUGAGGGCAUGCUUGGUCCUACGGGCUGCCCCUUGUUGUCUUAGCUGCAGCGACACUAAGUCAUUCUGGGUACUGCAGAAUGUCCUGUAAAAGGUGGUUGGGUGAAGGCACUUUAGGUCAUUAAGUUGAGUGGACUGUAUUUGUGUGCAUGUGUGUGCAAAAUUUGGUUUUAGGAAAUUUAAAUUUAUGGUAUGUGCUAUUUGUGAGAUGUAAGUUCAUGGUGUUGAGUGUUUUUUAUUUGCUUUUUUAUAGAGUCAGGGUCUUUUAAGAGAAGAAUUUUAUUUAUUUAUUUUAAUGGCAGCAAAGUUUUAUUAAAGGUAGGAAAAGGCUCUGCAGAGAGAGUUUGGGCCAAGUAAAAGUAGGAAAAUAAGUGCCCUGACAAUGUGAGGGCAGCCACCCUGCAAGGGAACACAGUGGCCAUAGGGCAGAAUUUUAGAAGCCCUUUUUUCCUUUGCCACUUAAGGCUUGAGAAUGGAGAUUUAGAAAGCCUUUGGGUAGUGAAUUGCUUUAUUAAUCAGAUGAAAACUGUGGGUUCUCUUUCCAGAAAAAUACGUAUUCAGUUCAACAAAUUUAUUCAGCCUGUAUUUAUUGAAUAGUCACUAUCUGCCAGGCAUAGUUUAUAGUGUUAUGAUAUACUAGUGAACAAAAUAGAAAAAAUCAAAACAAAAAACAGCCCAAAAAGGAAACCUCUGUGGAGGUUAUAUUCUAGGGAGUCAAUAAGCUAAGAAAAAAAAUACUGUGUAGUAUAUUAGAAUUUGAUCAAUACUGUGGAAGAAUAGAAGAUGUAAAGGCACUUCAAAGUAGGGGGACAAUGGUGGUUGUUGCAAUUUAAAUAAAGACAUCAGGAUAGGCCUAGAUAAGUGAGAGGUGGGAGGAUCAGAAGUUUGAGCCCAGCCUGGGCAACUUAGUAAGACUGGGUCUCAGAAAGGCCUGGGGAUGGAGCUCAGUGUUAGAGUGCCCCUGGGUUCCGCCACCAGUAUCCCAAAAAAGAAGGAAAGGAGCUAGACCUUGUAAAAAGCAUGGUAUUUGAGCAGUAGAUUAAGGCGGUGCAGGAGUUAGUUAGUUGGUGGAGAGGUCUUCAAGUAGCCAUAGGGAAGACAACAUGAUGGGAGCAGAAUAAGCAAGGAUAAGAGCAGAAUAUCACCUUCCUAGGGCUGCAUAACCAUUUACCACAAAUUGGGUGGCUUAAUACAAAAAAUUUGUUAUCUCACAGUCUUGAAGGGGAGAAGUCUGAAAUCAAGGUGCUGGCAGGGUGAUUCCAUCUGGAGGAUCUGAGGGAGAGUCUGUUCCAUGCUUUUCUCCUGGCUAUCAGCAACCCUUGGUGUUCUUGGCUUAUAGCUGCAUCCCUCCGGUCUUCAUUUCUGUCUUCACAUCUCCUCCUCCUCUUGCAUGUCAUCUCCCUCUGCCUCACUUCAUCAGGACCUCUGUUACUGAAUUUAAGGCUCACCCAAAGUCUAGGAGGAGCUCAUCUUGAGUUUUUUUUUUAAAAGACAGGCCUCACUAUGUAUUUCAGGCUGGGUGAACUCACUGUGUGGCCCAGGCUGGCUUUAAAGUCAUAGCAGUCCUGCCUCAGGCUCCGAAGUGCUGGGAUUACAGGUGUGUGGCCAGCUUCAUUCUGAGGUUUUAAAAUUACUUACAUCUGCAAAGACCAUUUUUACAAAUUUUUCCAAUCACAUUUAUAGGAAUUGGAGAUUAAGAUUGGACUUGUCUUUUGGGGGACCAGUAUUCACCCACCUACAUCUGUGUGGCCUCCUAGGAUGGAUGCAAAAUGUAGCAUGUACUGCAAAGAGGUAAGUAUCCUGUUGGAUUGAGUGGGAGCUGUUGGCUGGCACACAGGUCUCCGUUUUCUGUAUCUAGCAGGUGAGGUAACUCCUUCUCUUGUACUUUAUUUUCUGGUUUCUUUGACAGCAGUGCUGUCUAACUCUGUUGCACCCUGGGUGGCGUUGCUGUCCUAGAUCGGAUACUGUUUAUCACGGUGCACUUCACAAUGUGUGUUUGAGCCCCGCAGGUAGCAGUGGGUGAUCCAGAGUUACAGGGGCUGGAAGAGCAUGUCAGGGUAGCACAUUGGGUUUGCCACUUUGUGUGCUCCUUCUCUCUACUGUGCUGUUGUUUUAGUUUCUGCUUUCUUUUUGCUUUUUAAAAAAUUUUGCUGUACAGGCUAAUGGGCUUCAUUUGGCAAUUUGUACAUGCACACGACAUACUUUGAUCACCCCAUCCCCUUUGCAGUGCCCCCCGCCCCAGUUCACGAGUGUUUUGGAGGGGAUUUCAAUGCAUAUAAUGUAUUUUGCUUGUGUCCAUCACUCCUACUGCCCACCCUCACACCCCCGUCUUUUUGUCUACCUGGCCAUGUUCUGUAGUUUCUUCCAAGCAUAUAAUGCCAUCAGGACUAGCCAGGGCCAAGAAGAAGGAAAAAACAGUACACAGGAGGGCACUGGAGCCCAUAAAGAUUGUCAUUUACCCUACGGCUCCAGUCAAAUUAGCUGCAGAGCUGGCAUUGGAACCCAAUUUUCUUAAUGCAUAAGUCAGUUUUUUUUCCAAAUGAAUAAGCAUUUCCAUGUAAUUAUGUAAUUUCAUCUUGGUUAUAAAUAAUGCAUAAUGUUUCAUAAGCGUUUUCUACUUUCUACUAUUGUAAGUAAAACUAUGGGUGUUUUUUCAGUCAAGAACUAUUUAUCAGGCACUAAAAAUAAACAAAAGAAUCUCUGCCUCAUGGAGUUUAUAUUCUGACAGAGAAGUAUCAUCUCAAUUACAGUUGUUUCCUUAGGAUAGAGUAUAAGUGAAUUCUCAUAUUACAAAUGAAAAUGUUUAGUAAGUGCAUUUCUAAACAUUAAAAUCAACUUUCUCUCUCUUAAAUUCUGUUUCAGAAGUCUACUACUGUUUUUCUUUUCUUUUCUUUUCUUUUCUUUUCUUUUCUUUUCUUUUCUUUUCUUUUCUUUUCUUUUCUUUUUUCUUUUCUUUGAGGCAGGGUCUCCCUUUGUAGUUCAGGCUGGACCUGAACUCACUAGAUAGCCCAGGCUGGCCUCGAACUCUCGGGGAUCCUCCUGCCUCAGCCUCCCGAGUGCUGGGAUCCCAGGUGUGCGCCACUUCGCCUCGUGUCUUUCUUUGGUGUUUGUUGGCCGUGGUGGCGCACACUUGUAAUACCAGUUAUUUGGGAGGUUGAAGAGGAGGAUUGCAGGUUUGAGCCCAGCUUGGGCAACUUAGUGAGAUUUUGUCUCAAAAUGAAAAUAAAAAGGGGCAGGGGUGUAGCUCAGUGGUAGAGUGCUUGCUUCAUGGGAGACCUAGGGUUGAGUUCCCAGGAUGGGGCGGUAAUAAUGUUUGCUCCCUCAUACACAUGUGCUACCACAAAUUAAAAUGAGUAGGAACCUCUGACAAAAGUUAAGUAUUGUUAAUUAUUGAUAAUUUGGGUAAUUGCUUUUUUUCACUGUAUUGCUAAAAAUGUAUAAAAUAUUUAUGAUUUUUGGUGUGGCUGGGAAAAUUUUCUAUUUAUUGUAAAUAACCAAUAAAAUCUAAAUUAAAGUCAGAUUUCAAAUUGAUUGUAUUUAUGCCUUGGUUUGUAGAUUUUCCCCUUCUUUCAUUUCUAGGAAUUCUCUAGGGAGUUAGUAGCAACCUUAAUAAAAUGGUGUAACUUAGGGAAGGCAUUAGAUGUUAUUCAUCCUACUCUGAGAUGGAUGCCUAGUUUGAACUUUCAUUUUGUUGUGUGUGUUUAGUAACAACAGCAGCAGCAGGAACAACAAAUAUUCCUUUAAAAAAGUUAUGACCGAGUCUCAGAUUGAAGGAGGGUUUGAUGACUGAUUCCUGUUGCUGAGUUCAGCAGACUUUAAGAUGGAAGUCUAUUCAGAAGGAAUUCACACUAGGAAUUCCUAGUGGUCCCGGAACACAUCCAAGGAUAAAGAGGAACUACCGUAGAAGUUUUAAAAGUAUCUAAAAUAAAACUUCAGAGCUCUUCAUUCAAUCUUUUGAGAGCUUCAUGUAAACCAUCAUGUGGGAUGAAUCAGCUGCACAUGCCAGCUCUUCCUUCCUGUGAGUUCCCAGCAUUUCAUUUCCUGAAUUUCUUGUGUGGAGUGGAGAGCAGAGCUCAGAAACAUGGCAUCCCCUGCUUUGUGACCUGAGAGGGUGUUGCAGGGCCAGCUAUAUAGCAAAUACCUUAGGCAUUGUUGGCUGUCUGGGCUCUGUUACAGCAACGCAGCUCUGCCACGGUAGUGGGAAGCAGCCAACCACACAGGUAUGGAAACAUGGGGAGGCUGUGUUCCAGGAAAGCUUUAUUUACAAAAACAGGUUGUGGUCUCUUGGCCCGUGAUCCCUAGUUUGCUAUCCUUUGCUCUAGAGUGCAUGGAAAUCUUAAUCUUUACUGGGUUCCAAAGGAUGUUGUUAUUUUAUUUACCAGAUUGGAACCUCAGGAUUACUUUUAUUAGAUUUCUUUCAAAAUUAAUUAAUAGAGAAAAAAAUUAAUUAAUAGAGGGCUGGGGAUUUAGCUCAGUGGUGCCGCUGUCUGCCUCACAAGUGCAAGGUCCUGAGUUUGAUCCCUGGCAUCUCCCCCCACCCCAUUAAUUAAUAGAUAUUUGGGGUGAAACAUUGCAUUGUAGUUUUGGUUUCUUUUUGGGGACAUGCUUCUUUGGCAUUGAAAGAUACAGAUUUUUUUUUUUAUUUCUCUAAGCAAGAUUUAAGCAGGCUUGAUUUUUUUUAGUCUUAUGUGACUCUCAAUAAAAAACAAACUAAAAACCAAACCAACCUUGGUCACUUACUAUAAUAACUGAUAUAGCUAUACUACUGGUGGCAUAUGGUAGAGCAUACCUUUUAAUAAAUUGUUAAAUAUAAAGCACAGAAAGUCUCAAGUUAUGGUAUGUUAUAGGUGCCUGUGGGGUUAUUAGAUUAGAGGGAUGAUUUCAAUUUAGUUUGAAUCCUUACCAGAUUGCUGAUUGUAGGCUCAGGAUAUUGGUGUGUUUGUGCUUUACAGCUACUACAGGUCCUGGUUGCUAUGGCUUCUCAUUAGCUUCUUAAGAUCCCUUUGGAGCCCUGGUUGCCUGGCAGGAGAAAAGGCAGAAGCUGCUAGAAGCUGUGAGGACAGAUGCAAGCUGCAGAAGUAGCCCCUGGGGGAACACUGGGUAUAUUGACCAAGGUUUGUGUGUGUGGUCACAUAUGAACUUUCGGUUUUCCUAGGCGGAGCUCCUGGUCAUACGAGUUAAUUACUGUGUGCUGCAAGUGAUCUUUGUUUUAGGGAUUCGGCAAUUUGAACUCUUUAAUAAAUUUUUAAAAAUGCAAAUUAGGAAAUUUUGUUUUGAGUGCAUUCCUGCCUUUCAUGAAAGUGCUUUUGACCUUUAAUAAUAAUGAGUAAUUGAAAUAUUAUAGGUUUUAAUAAUGGCUACUACUAAUCCAUUAAAAAGGUCAAUCUACAGUGAAAGCUUGCAUAAUUAGAAGAGUAUUAUGAUUAGAAUUUAAUUAUUUCAGGCUCACAAGAAUAUUAGACUCUAGAGGGCAGUGUAGCUCAGCAUGUUCAUGCUUCUGCUGACAGUGAAAUUUUGCUUUGGAAAAGUAAUUUACUUUGGAAGAACAAUCUAGGUAUUCUGAACUUUUCCUUACCAUAUGGUGACCCAGUUUAAUAGAAAUGUGAGUUUUGGAAAGAAGUGGUCUGGUGUGGCUUAGAAGGUUAGAUAAUACAUCAUGAUUUAUUUGGCCCCAAGGAAUAGCCUUUCUUCAUUUAAAACACAGUGUGGUAGCACAUGUGCUGUGAUUUCAGCAUUUGGAAGGUUGAGGCAGGAGGAUUGAGAUUUCAAGGCUGGCCUGGGCUAAUUGACUUCGAGGUCCUGUCUUGGGAGAAAUAACCAAUAAAACAUUUUGACUUCAGAAACACUGGAAUUCUGUUACUGAUUCAGCUAAAUUGAAUUGAUACUGCUUUUCAGGCCUCUAUGGAACAUGAAGCAAAAGGAAUAGUACAUGUUGUGUUUUCAGAUCUUUUUUGGGGAAGGAUAUGAAUGUACCCUCUGUUAGAGAAUUAUUCUGACAUACGUUUUUGGUAGUUUUUUAUUUUCCAAAUAAUACUAAUUAAAAAUAUUUACACAGCUACUCCUAAGUCCACAGUUUAGCACUCUUAUUUGUAUGGUUUUAAAAGUUUUAGCACUAGGGCCAGGGAUGUGUAGCUCAGCAGCGCUGCACUGCGCCUGCUUGGCAAGUGCAAGGUCCUGAGUUCAAUUCCCAGUACCAGGGGAAAAAAAAAGUUUAUAGCACAAGAUCUUUAUGUUAAGUAUUGGGGGAAAAAUUCAGAAUAAAGCCUGAUAUAUUAUAUACAUGUCUUUCUCUGUAUUUUAUUUUUUGGUACUGGGAAUUGAACUCAGGUCCUUUUGCUUGCCAGGCAGGUGUGGCGCCACUGAGCUACACAUCCCUGGCUGUAUUUUAUUUAAAAUAUAUUGAUUUUUAAAUGAUGGUCAUCUUUUUUUCCCUCUGGUGGUAAAAUAUUAGUGCAAAUUUUCUUCAACAUAAAGUUUACCACAGAUGUAAAUGAAUUUUCUCGAUUGAAAAUGGCCCUUCACCUGCCAUUCUGAGACAUUUUUAAACAACCCUUAGAGUGGAAUUCUUGAAACCAGUGCUUGAUUGGUUGAUAUCUCUUAGUGCGGAGCCUUUCUAAACUUUUCAAACAUAUGCAUUUAGCAAAAUCUAAAACAUAAAUUAUGUCAAUUACCUUUUCUUUCAAUCCUUAAACUUGUGUGUAUUUUCAGGGAAAUCUAGUCAUAUAUUUUUGGCACAUUUACACAUAAGCCAUCAUAUGUGAUUAGGAAAGAACUAUUUUGAAGUCUAAAAGAGUUUUUGGAGCCUUUAAUUUUGUUUCUUGCUUCUAAGCAGAAAGUGGGAAUUACAAAGGCCAAGUUAAUGAAUCUCCUGGAAUUUUGGGUUGAAGUUUUUAAAUUAUGAACUGCAUUUUUUUUUUCGGAGUGAAGGUUUUACUAGGUCGUUUAGGCUGUUUUGAAGUGAUUAUAUAGCUCAGGCUGGCCUCGAAUUCAUGGUGAUCCUAUUGCCUGAAUUGCAAAUUUGGGAAACAGUUUUUGUUUCUGUGAUUCUAAUGUUAUUAUAGUGUGGAAAUUGGUAUAUUCAGUGGUUAAAUGUGACAGGCGUUUGAGAUUUUAAGUUCAAAUUUUGACCUUAGAAUGCUUUUUUGGGGGGGUGGGGAGACAGAGUCUCACUAUGUAGUUUGGGCUUCCUUGAGGCCAUGAACUAUGUAGCUUCAAAACUUUAUCAGUCCUGCCUCAGUUUCCUGAGUGCUGGAAUUACAGGUGUGCACCGUCACACCUGGCUAGAAUGACUUUAAACAAAAUGUAGUUAUUCAAUGUUUCCUUUUUCUUUGUCUGAUUGAGAAUAAUUCAAGGUUACCAUUCAUGCUUGAAAUAUGUGUUUGUUAAAGAAUGUUGAAAUUCUUGGAUGAAAGAUCUUAUACAAGAGCAGAUAAUACAAAUUUAAGAAAAUACCAAAUGGAGAUUCUGCUUUUGGUCAUUUCACAUUGGGUUGUAGAUAGCAGCUAAAGUGAUAUUCAUUCAUAUUCUCUCUUCUUCCCUUUCUGUCUCUGUCUCUGUCUGUGUCUCUCUGUCUCUGUCUGUCUAUCUAUCUAUCUAUCUAUCUAUCUAUCUAUCUAUCUAUCUAUCUCUGUCUCUCUUGAAUUCAGGGCAUUCUACCAUUCAGCUACACCCCCAGAUCUUUUUAUUUUUUUUUGGUACGGGGGAUUGAACUCUCAGGUCCUUCUGCUUGUGGGGCAGGUGGUGGAACCACUGAGCUAAAUCCCUGGCCCUCUCUUUAGUUUUUAGUUAUGAGACAAGGUUUUGUUAAGUUGCCCAGGAUGGCUUCAAGUUUGUGAUCCUCUUUCCUCAGCUUCCUAAGUAGCUGGGAUUAUAGACUGCACUGCCACACUUGGCUUCCUUAGUCUUCCUGUUUUGUCUAGUUAUAUAAGAGAAUUAUUCCAUUGUCCCAUUGCUUUCUACAUCUAGUUGGAUAAAAUAGUUAUUUGACCUAGUUACAAGUAUUUCUUAUUUGGGAAGAAACAAAUCAGGAGUUUUUUAUAGAAAUAAUAAAUCGUGUGUUAGUUUUGUUAUUGGUAUUGCAUGUAACUUCACCUCUGGCAAUACCUGUAUAUAUCCUUCCCCCCAUUCUAGUCACAGAGAACAAUAUAAAAUAGCUAUUUGUAUGAAAUAUACAACAUACAUCAGAACUUGAAAUUCAGUGUUUAAAAAAUUUACAUAGAAUUUGUGUAGUUAAGGAAAGUUUUUUUUUUUUUUAAAGAAAAAAGAAAGAUCUGUUUUGGAGAAGUUGACUGUUCAUUUACAUAGUAUCUAGAAAUAGAAGGCAAACUUAAAAAAAAAAAAUGGAAUGCUUCACGAAUUUGCCUGUCAUCCUUGUGCACGGGCCAUGCUAAUCUCCUCUGUAUCGUUCCAAUUUUAGCAUAUGUGCUGCUGAAGUGAGCAUGAAGGUGAACAUUUUAAGUAGCUAUAAGUAGAGAAAGUAACUAAAUCCCUGAUUUUACAAAGGAUCUGGGAGAUAACUGCCUAAUUCUCAAAUGAAAUUAACAGACUUACUAAAUGCUUGCUUUAUUCUAGCAAGUGACAGAGAAUUGCUUUGCUAUAGAUAGCAUUACUUAGGUUUUCAAAAAUUUGAAGAUAAUAUGGGCAAAGUCUGGUACAGUAUUUUGAAACAUACCGAAAAUUUCUUUUGUACUAAGAUUUAAGUACUAUUUAAAUGUAUUCUAUUCAACAUAUGCAACUCAAUUGAUUUCUCAUACAUUGAAAAACAACUGUAUGCACAAUACCUCAUCCUAGUCCUUUGGAGCAAAUUUUAGUUACUGUUUUCCCCCAGUUUACCUAAAUCCAUUAGUUUGAUUUCUCCAAUUUUCCUUAUUUCCCCAGUUUACCUGUAUGUUUCACCAUCUUGUUGAAUUUGUUUUUGGUUUUGUUUUUUUGGGUGGCAGUAGCUCCUUUGGCUUGAGAAAAAAUACUCUCCAGUUCCAAGUAUAAAAUACCUUGAAUCGUCUGUAUGAAUGUCUUGUUCUCUGUGGACACAUACCUUUCCUUAUUACCUAAGAGGCUGCCUUGUUAUUGUUAAUUGUUAGUUUGAGAUCUGGGAUAAAUCACCAAAUGGAGAUGUCAGCUAAUCAGUGCUUCCAGCUUCAGGUUUGCCCAUCAGAGGACAGUUCCUUCCAGUAAUUACACCCUUCUGGUCAAAUUGCUGUCCACAGCUCUCUCAUUAUGUGUUUUGUAACUCCUUAAAUAGCUAGAAUAGGAGCAGGCAAGCUUUUUAUGAAAAUGGUCAGAUGAUAAAUGUUUUUUUUAUUUGUUUGUUUUAAAAUUUUUGUUUUUUGGUACUGGGGAUCGAACUUGGAACUUUGUGCUUGCGAGGCAGGCGAUGGAACCACUGAACUACAUCCCCAGCCCUAAAUGUUUUUGGUUUUGUGGGGCAAAUAAUCUUUGUUGCAAUCAUUCAGCCUUGUCAUUGUCAGACAGGAGCAGCCAUGGACAGUAUGUAAAUAAACAGGCGUGACUAUUUUCAAUAAAAUUGUAUUAAUGGACACUGACAUUUAGAUAUUUUGUAAUUUUCAUGCAUCACAGAAUAUUAUUCUUCUUUUGAAACCAUUCUUCACUCAUAAUAGGCACACAAAAGCAGGCUGUGGGCUGGGUUUGACCUAUGGCCAUGUUUUGCCAAUCCCUUAGAUAGAAAUCCAGAAAGGAGGUACAUAGAAGUGGUUGUUCAUUGACAACUUUAAUUUUUUUUUUUAUGGUACCUGGAAUUGAGCUCAGGACCUUGGGCUUGCCAGGCAGGCGUGGCGCCACUGAGCUACAUCCCUGGCCCUUGACGAUUUUAACUCAUGCAUAUUUACAGGGUUGUUUUUGUAGCUACUAAAUGUGGAAUGAAUGCAUUUGUUAAUAUGAUCGGCAAUGUGAAUAACAUGAUUUCUUUUUAUUUUAUUUAUUUAUUUUUUUUGGUAACCGGGGAUCCAACUCGGGUCCUUGCGCUUUCGAGGCAGGUGCCGGAACCACUGAGCUAAAUCCCUAGCCCAAAUAACUUGAUUUCUAAUGGCAACUUCAGGGUCUAGAGAUAGAAUACUUUUGGAUGAUACAAGAUUAAAGCUGGUUUUCUUCAUCAGUAGAUGCGGGAAAUUGCCAAGGUCUGUGGAGCAGAAUCUUUGAUUUACAAGUUGAAAUAAGGCCAGAAUACACUAGAAUUAGAACUACAUAGGGUUGUUUGAUAUAAGAGCUUCAUUAAAGGGAAGGAACUGCCUUCAUGGCUGUUUCGGCUUGUGAUUUCUGUUUUGGUGUAUUCUGUCCCAACCACUUGAUUUGUGCAGGGUGAUCAUGAUAGUUCAGAUCUAGAAAGUAGGUUGUCUCACAGUUUGAGCCUUUCUUAGCAUUACAGCUUAUCUGGAGGACUGAAAGAGCCAAACUGUCUUUGUACAGAUAGGGGCUACUUUCCUUCUGCUUACGCCUAAAAACCCAGCCUCUGUCUGUGUCAGCAUUUGUUGGAACUAAAUAUUGCACGGACACUAUAUAUUUCACAGUAGACAUAUUUUUUCUACUUAACAUUAAGCAGUUGCUGAAUUUGAAGAACUGUUGCUUCUGUUGAUCCUCACUCUGACCAAAAUUCAUGUACACAGCACAACCUGAAUUAAUAGUGCUCAAACUCAUUUAGCCCUGAGAAUGGUUUAAUCAAAGGUGAACCUUUUAAAGAUCUUAUGAGGCAGCAUCCUAAAACAAAUUGAAGAAAAGAAAAGUAGUUAGCACUUAAAAUGAUUUUUUUGGUCAGAGUUUAUAUUUCUCUUUUUAAAAGCUUUCUUAAACAGCUCUGUGGUUGUUCCUAUGUUCUAUUUAGAUAGAAUAAAGAAAAUCCUAGGGCGGGGGAUUUAGCUCAGUGGUUCUGGCGCCUGCCUUGCAAGCAUAAGGUCCUGAGUUCAAUCCCCAGUACCAAAAAAAAAAGAAAAUCCUAUUUGUAUACUUUAUAUUGAACUGCAGGUAUUCAGCCUAAUUACUAAUCUGUUUUUGGUGAAAGCCCAUUCACAGGGCAAAUUAUUUAUCUUUCUUAUUUCUCACCUGAAUGUGUGUUGUGGCUAACAGGUUAGAUUUUCCUCCACUUUGUUGUCAUUCUGCAAACCCAACACCCCCCCACCCCCCGCCGAAAUGGAUGGCUAAGUUGAUAUUUGUCAGGCUUUUAGGACUGGGCAGCUGUAAGUGCUGAUCUGCAUGACCUUCUCAGCACCCUCUUUCUUUUUUUUUUUAAUUCUUUUAUUGAUACAUUUUAGGUAUACAAUACGUUUAUAGGUACAAGCAUUGGGUGCUUGUACCUGUACGUGAUGUAUCUUGAUUCUUAUUUUUUUCCCCAUUACCUGUGCGCCCUUCACCCCCUUCACCCUUCCCUAUUUACAUAGACUUUGUUUCCAUUUUUUUUAUUUUCUCAUAAUUUUUCCUUUCCCUUCUUUUCUUUGCCCUUCCCCUCCCACCACCCCUCCACCUUUGGACCUUUUCCUAUUUCAAAUUAUCAGUUAUGCGUUUUAAUCAUUUUAAUACUUAUUUACACUUUCAGUUUCUCACACUAGAGAAACUAUUUGGUAUUUACAUGUGUGUCCUAUUUAUUUCACUUAAGAGUAUGACCUCAAUAUGCACCCAUUUAGCUGUAAAUGUCUCUAGUUUCUCAUUCUUUAUGGCUGAGUAGUACUCCAUUUUAUUAAAAAACCACAUCUUUAUCCAGUUUCCAGUUGAUGGGCACUUGGGCUGUUUCCAGCCUUUAUCAGCACCCUCUUUCUAAUGAGAGCCCUGAUUGAUUUGUGGUUUGGGUAGUUGGCAAUAGGUAGGUAAAGGAUCAGAGGGAAACUUGCAUUGUCUGAUUAAUUGAAUCUCCAUGUCAAAUAGCUUUUCAUUUUGAAGUGUGGAGCCUGAGUUUAAAUCCUGGUUCCUAAAUUAACUAUAUGGGUUCAGUGAAGAGAUAUUAUUCAACACCUUUGUCCCAGCUUUGCUCAUUUAUAAAGUGGAGCUAAUAGUAGUACUUGUCCUGUAAGAAUAUUAUCAUUUAUAAAAUAUUUAGAGUCAGUGCUUGACACAGGGUUAGUGCUUCCUGAAUAUUAUUGUUAGUAUCAUUAUCACCAGCAUCAUUUCACUCAUUUCACAGUUGGAUGGAAAACAGUUGAUGUUUUAAGCAGGAAGUUACCAGAAUUGAGGUUUGAAGACACUGGUUUGAUAGCAAAGGGGAAAUUGGAUGUGGUUCUGGUUAAGCAAAGGUAGGCAGGAAGACCAUUGUUAUGGAUUGUGUUCUUGAAAAUCUAUGUAUUGAAGUCCUCUCCCCAUGUACCGUAGAAUAUAACAGUAUUUGGAAAGAGUCAUUGUAGAUGUAAUUAACGAGAUGAGGUUAUUAGUGUGGGUCCUAAUCCCACAUGACAACUGUUAAAACAGUGUCAGAGAGAUCUAGAGAGCAGACAGCCCUCAGUAAACCGAGGAAAAAUGCCUUUUCUCACAGCCCUCAGAAGGGACCUGUGCUGUGAACAUCUCCAUUUACUAAGUUGCCAACGCUGGGCUUGAAUUUAUGGUUUUCCUGCCUCAGCCUCUCAGAGUGCUGGAUUGCAAGGCAUAUGCCACCACACCUGGCAGUUAUGGCAGUUUUGUUAGGGCAGCCCUAGGAAGCUAGACGGAUAAUGUCUGAACCGAGACCAUGUUGGUGCACCUGAAGAGGUGAAGGAAGAUCUUUAAAAUGCAGAAUCAGUAGUUAGUCACCUAUUGGAUCUGAGGAGGGGGAGGAUUUUCCUUGAGUCCGUGUGGUACAGUUUACUGUUACCGAGAAUACGUGAGAAGGGAAAGUUUCUGGCAUGUUGUGUUUGAGGGACAUGCGGGGGAUUUCAUUUCUAAGACUUUUAUUUGAACUAAGAAUCACUCUUCCCUAGUUUCUUGGAGCUUAUUUUUUUUAAAAGGAAGCAUUUUAUUAUUUUUGAAGCAAAAACUAUUAGAGCUGUUAUUUAAAAAUAAACGUCUCUCACUUAAGUGCUCGGUUUGAAAUCAGGGUGUGUGAAGGGUCCAGGUUGCUUGAGGAAUUUCUUUUUUUUGGUGCCAGGGAUCGAACUUGAGACCUUGCGCUUGCGAAACAGGGGCCAGAACCACUGAGCUAAAUCCCUGGCCCCUCGAGGAACUUCUUUACAUGGUUCCAGUGACCUUCCCAGUCUUGGAGCUUAUUUUUAAAAGUAUCUGAUUUUUAAAUUUAUUGCAUAAAAAUAUUACCUCUUAUUAGUUCUAAUAUUUUGUUCAUUUUUUUGUACAGAUUUUUCCCAGUUAAGCAAUCAUAUUGUCUGCAAAUAAUUUUUUAAAAAAAAAUCUGUUCAGCCAACUGUUAGUCCUCUGGUCUCAGCUUCCCAAAGUGCUGUGAUUACUGGUGUGUACUACCACACCUGGCAGAAAGGACUUUAAAUAGUGUUAAGGGAGGUUUUUUUUUUUUUUUUUGUACCUGGGAUCAAAUUUAGGACCUUGUGCUUGCAAGGCAGGAGCGGUGCCACUGAGCUACAUCCUCAGCCUAAAGAAGUAUUUUUUUAAUGGACAUUGAUAUCAUUUUGCCUCUUUGGUAAGGUCUUCCUUAUUAAUAGUACGCACUAUCCUCUUCUCUGCUGCACUAGCACUGUCUUCUUCUCUGCUGCUGUGUAGUGCUCCUCACUGAAUUAAGGAUGGAAGAUUCCCUCAAGGAAGGAGAUUCCUAUCUGCCAAUUCUAAGUACAGUGUUCUUGCUCCAUAAGAAGCCAACUUGUUUUUUGGUACCAGAGAUCGAACUCGGGACCUUCCGCUUGCGAUGCAGGCUGCAGAACCACUGAGCUAAAAUCCCCGGCCCUGCUUUUGCUUGUUUUUAUUUUUAUUUUUUAUCUUUUUGGUACCAGGGUUGAACUUGGGUCCUUGCGCUUGCGCAGCAGACGGCGAAACCACUCAGCUAAAUCCUGGGCCCUGUUUUUAAAGACAAAAGUCUUGCUAUACAUUCAGGGCUGGUCUUGAGCUCACUGUGUAGCCCAGGGUGGUCUUGAACUCACAGUUCUUUUGCCUCAGCCUCCCUAGUGCUGGGAUUACAGUAGGCUAGUACUGGGAUUUCAGGAGUGUGCCCCCACACCUAGCUACAGACUUUCUUUUUUUUUUUGGUACUGGGGAUCGAACUUGGGUUCUUGUACUUACGAGGCAGGCAUCACAACCACUGAGCUAAAUCCCCGGCCCCUAGCUUCAGAUUCUUAAUUUACUAAAUAAUAUGCAAAUGUGUGCAAACACUUUUAAUUUGCAUUUUGGCUGUUUUACCUCUUUGAAGGUAGUUGCUUCAAAUGGUCCCUUGAAAGAAUUGAUGAUUUCUAUAUUGAGUUGUGGAAUUUCAUUUUGGUCAUUUUCCAGAGAAGCAGAUGAGAAAAUUACACUAAAAUUGUUUUGAUUUAUAUUUGAAUUGUGUGAAAUUUUCUGUUAACAUACAUUGCCAUAGAAGAGUCUAGAAGAUUGGUUUCUCUUUUUUUUCAGGCAUUUGUAACAAAUCUUAGGGUAGACCUAGAAUCAUCCCAUGAGGGAGGGGUUUGGUGGGACAGAUACCAAGAGGGGUAAAGGAGGAGUGAUAAUGGAAUGUCUGGUGAGAGUUUCACAGAGGUGGCUGGCCUCUGCUGGACAUGUGUCUGCUGAGGUCGCUGGGUCUUGGCACUAUGUAACAGCAUCUGAAUCGGGUCUCAGUAGGACUGAGUGGGGAAGUAUCCUGAAGAUGAGAUGGACUGCAAGAAAUGAAAGUUGUCAAGACUUGAGAGGCUUCAUUUUGUUGAUCUCUUAGCUGUACUCCUAGGUGUGCAUAGUCGCUAAUGAUGUUGCCGCCUGCUACUUCUGUCACCUCUGUCUUCCGUUGGUGCCUCAGGGACAGCUGUCUUUUCCCACUCUCUUAUUCUGAUCCAUCUGGGUUUGACACACACUGUUUUACUCCUUUACCCUCAGUCUUUUUUUACUUCAUUCCAUGUCAGGCAGUAUUUUAUGUCUAUCUUUUCUCUUUUAAUUCUUUCUUUCCUUUUUUUUGGUACUGGGAAUCGAACUUGGGUCCUUGUGCUUGGGAGGCAGGCAGCGGAACCACUGAGCUAAAUCCCUGGCCCUUUUAAUUCUUUCUUGGUUACCUCAGGAAAAUACUUCUCUUCCAAAAAACUGUCCCUGAUUAUGGCUGCCUAAAUAUAGACAGGGAAGCUAGUAAUACCUGCACUAAGGCAGACAGAGGUGCAUCAUUUUUAUUUUAUUUUAUUUUAUUUUAUUUUAUUUUAUUUUAUGUAUCGGGGAUCAAACUCGGGACCUUGCGCUUGGAAGGCAGGCACCGGAACCACUGAGCUAAAUCCCCAGCCCGAGCUGCAUUAUUUUUAAAAUAAAAUCAUUCAUUAUAAAGAACCUUUUCUUAGCCCUUGAGUAUAGCCUGAAGACUCAUUUACAGUCUCCACAAAUAGUUUCUUUUUCAUCCGUCUGUUUUUGGUCAAAUAUUAAAAUUGCAAAUUGAAAUGAUUCUUAUUCAAGGAUUUUAUAGAUAUUCAGCAAUGUUAUUUUCUGUAAUUUUUCACUGAAACACAUAUAUGGCAACCUGUUAUGGAUUUGUUGGGUUAGUGACCUAGCCUGGGACAGUAAUUACCAUUUGUAAAAUUGUGUGAAAUGUGAAUUUUAAAUAAUCUACAAGUGAACUUGGGAGCAUACUGAAGCUGUAAAUUGAGAGCAGCCUGUGUUUUAUAAGGCACAUCUAAGAAAGUCACCAUGUUUUCCUUAUUUUUCUCACCCCCCAUUAAUCGUGACCUCGUCCGUCUCAGUCCCUCGAUCUUACUCUCCCUGCUGGGGGGAGCCAAGUCCAGGCCUGGGCUUGAUCUCUUACUGAAGCGAUGCAGUAGGCCCUGAACUGCCCCAGUUCCUUCCACUCAGCACUUAGCCUCUUCUCUACACUCACAGCCAGAGUGUACAGAAGCAAAUCUGGUGCUCACUGUCUUGCUCUCACCGCCUUUUGAUGCCUUCUCCAGCACCCAUGUGAUGAGAGGGCAAGUGCUAGAUGGCAGAGCCCUUAGCCUGCUUGUCUCGGGAAUGUAUCUGAUGAAACCAGCGUGGGUCACAGAGAAAGC